GAUGGGGGGUGCUAAUACAUGCAGUCGAACGCUUCUUUUUCCACCGGAGCUUGCUCCACCGGAAAAAGAGGAGUGGCGAACGGGUGAGUAACACGUGGGUAACCUGCCCAUCAGAAGGGGAUAACACUUGGAAACAGGUGCUAAUACCGUAUAACAAUCGAAACCGCAUGGUUUUGAUUUGAAAGGCGCUUUCGGGUGUCGCUGAUGGAUGGACCCGCGGUGCAUUAGCUAGUUGGUGAGGUAACGGCUCACCAAGGCCACAAUGCAUAGCCGACCUGAGAGGGUGAUCGGCCACAUUGGGACUGAGACACGGCCCAAACUCCUACGGGAGGCAGCAGUAGGGAAUCUUCGGCAAUGGACGAAAGUCUGACCGAGCAACGCCGCGUGAGUGAAGAAGGUUUUCGGAUCGUAAAACUCUGUUGUUAGAGAAGAACAAGGAUGAGAGUAACUGUUCAUCCCUUGACGGUAUCUAACCAGAAAGCCACGGCUAACUACGUGCCAGCAGCCGCGGUAAUACGUAGGUGGCAAGCGUUGUCCGGAUUUAUUGGGCGUAAAGCGAGCGCAGGCGGUUUCUUAAGUCUGAUGUGAAAGCCCCCGGCUCAACCGGGGAGGGUCAUUGGAAACUGGGAGACUUGAGUGCAGAAGAGGAGAGUGGAAUUCCAUGUGUAGCGGUGAAAUGCGUAGAUAUAUGGAGGAACACCAGUGGCGAAGGCGGCUCUCUGGUCUGUAACUGACGCUGAGGCUCGAAAGCGUGGGGAGCAAACAGGAUUAGAUACCCUGGUAGUCCACGCCGUAAACGAUGAGUGCUAAGUGUUGGAGGGUUUCCGGCCUUCAGUGCUGCAGCUAACGCAUUAAGCACUCCGCCUGGGGAGUACGACCGCAAGGUUGAAACUCAAGGAAUUGACGGGGCCCGCACAAGCGGUGGAGCAUGUGGUUUAAUUCGAAGCAACGCGAAGAACCUUACCAGGUCUUGACAUCCUUUGACCACCUCUAGAGAUAGAGCUUCCCCUUCGGGGCAAAGUGACAGUGUGCAUGUUGUCGUCAGCUCGUGUCGUGAGAUGUGGGUAGUCCCGCACGAGCCGCAACCCUUAUUGUUAGUUGCCAUCAUUCAGUUGGGCA
Molecule: ribosomal RNA, 1119 nt
Filed under: uncultured bacterium
Lineage: Bacteria
Description: bacterial SSU rRNA
Rfam family: Bacterial small subunit ribosomal RNA
Source: RNAcentral